This 438-nucleotide ribosomal RNA is filed under the name Enterobacter ludwigii. Its description in RNAcentral is "bacterial SSU rRNA". It matches the Rfam family "Bacterial small subunit ribosomal RNA", at positions 31 to 467 of the family's 1533-position model. Lineage: Bacteria; Pseudomonadati; Pseudomonadota; Gammaproteobacteria; Enterobacterales; Enterobacteriaceae. The record is from RNAcentral.
GAACGCUGGCGGCAGGCCUAACACAUGCAAGUCGAACGGUAGCACAGAGAGCUUGCUCUCGGGUGACGAGUGGCGGACGGGUGAGUAAUGUCUGGGAAACUGCCUGAUGGAGGGGGAUAACUACUGGAAACGGUAGCUAAUACCGCAUAACGUCGCAAGACCAAAGAGGGGGACCUUCGGGCCUCUUGCCAUCAGAUGUGCCCAGAUGGGAUUAGCUAGUAGGUGGGGUAANGGCUCACCUAGGCGACGAUCCCUAGCUGGUCUGAGAGGAUGACCAGCCACACUGGAACUGAGACACGGUCCAGACUCCUACGGGAGGCAGCAGUGGGGAAUAUUGCACAAUGGGCGCAAGCCUGAUGCAGCCAUGCCGCGUGUAUGAAGAAGGCCUUCGGGUUGUAAAGUACUUUCAGCGGGGAGGAAGGUGUUGUGGUUAAUAAC